RNAcentral lists this long non-coding RNA (332 nucleotides) under Triticum aestivum (bread wheat). RNAcentral's name for it is "long non-coding RNA (TAES_LNC020319)". The record is from RNAcentral. Lineage: Eukaryota; Viridiplantae; Streptophyta; Magnoliopsida; Poales; Poaceae.
GGUUAGAUAGUUGGCAUUUGCAAGCGGUAACCAAAUGCGCAUUCCAUUGAGUUUGUAUGGUGGCUGCUCUUUGCACAAGCUGUGUGCUUAUGAGGUGUUGGUACUUGUCGAGGACAGCAGGGGGGUAGCGUACUCGUGGUGUUGCACUAUGUUUUGUUUCUUUGUUUUAUUUUUGAGUGUUUGAUCUGUUUGAGCCUUUGUGAUCCGAGAAAAUAAAAAUAAUAUGAGUUACCUUUGUUAAUUAAUUUAUUAUUCAUUGUUCCAUCUAUGUGGUGAUGUAAAAUCUGUCCUCUCAAACAUGUCAAACAUUUUUUGAAAUCGUAAACAUUUUU